UCGUGCUAGGCGGGGAGUUAGCGGUGCCCUGUAUUCGCAAACCGCUCUAGCGAGGCUGAAUUCCUAUCAUAGGUGCGUAAGAAAUUACCUCUUUCAGUUUGUAUAGGUGUUGAUAGUCGGGUCCUGCGCGGCGAGAGCCUGCGAACUCCGUCAGGUUCGGAAGAAAGCAGCGGUAAACAGAUACUCUCGGGUGCCGUAGGGAAGCCUGGUUAGAGCCAUGCCAAUUGUAUAUGUUGUUUCCUCACAUCAAAGAAAGGUGCACGG
This 264-nucleotide signal recognition particle RNA is filed under the name SAR202 cluster bacterium. RNAcentral describes it as "signal recognition particle sRNA large type". It matches the Rfam family "Bacterial large signal recognition particle RNA". From Rfam's summary of the family: The signal recognition particle (SRP) is a universally conserved ribonucleoprotein involved in the co-translational targeting of proteins to membranes. Archaeal SRP consists of a 7S RNA and homologues of the eukaryotic SRP19 and SRP54 proteins. In most bacteria, the SRP consists of a 4.5S RNA and the Ffh protein (a homologue of the eukaryotic SRP54 protein). Lineage: Bacteria; Bacillati; Chloroflexota; Dehalococcoidia. The record is from RNAcentral.